GCAGGGGUGGCAGAGCCUGGUCAAAUGCGCAAAUCUACUGUUAAGAAUAACAUGGAGCGUUUGGUUGAGGGCCUUGUCCCUUAGUGGGUGCGCGUGUUCGAAUCACGUCCCCUGCA
RNAcentral lists this transfer RNA (116 nucleotides) under Candidatus Woesearchaeota archaeon. RNAcentral's name for it is "tRNA-OTHER". The record is from RNAcentral. Lineage: Archaea; Nanobdellati; Candidatus Woesearchaeota.